Molecule: transfer RNA, 76 nt
Filed under: Holosporales bacterium
Lineage: Bacteria; Pseudomonadati; Pseudomonadota; Alphaproteobacteria; Holosporales
Description: tRNA-Glu
Rfam family: tRNA
About the family: Transfer RNA (tRNA) molecules are approximately 80 nucleotides in length. Their secondary structure includes four short double-helical elements and three loops (D, anti-codon, and T loops).
Source: RNAcentral
GUCCCCAUCGUCUAGCGGUCUAGGACGUCGCCCUUUCAAGGCGGCAACACGGGUUCGAUUCCCGUUGGGGACGCCA